CAUCAUCUCUAUAGGGUAUUUUCAACCGUAGAUGUACUUGACACCGUUACGGUCAUCCGUUAGGCUCUCCACCGUAGGUGUUUGCCUUUUUCUCUCCGCCGUGGACCACCUGCGUGUCGUCCUCUCUUUCCUCCCCCCCCCCCCCCGCCGCCGCACUUUCGCCUGAUCCAGAAGCCUCACCAUGAUUCGAACAGACUGCUGCCGUCCCCAGUCCCAGUCCUCCGUCGUCCGCGUCCUGCGCCGCACGCGCCUCAAGCACCGUCGCUAUUGCCCAGCCCACCGGCGCCGCCUGUAAAUCCAUGCCCGACGCCUCGACCUCUCAGAUUCCUCACCACCGGCGGGUCCUAGCCCCGUCCAGGCGCGGCAGCGGUGGAUGCAACGCGCUGCGGCAGAGAUUUUCCUUGGGCCGAGCUGCGGUAGGCUGACGCGGUGGUUGACCGCGUGCCUCGUCUCCAACCUCAAGCUGUGCGGUUGCGCUGCGGGUCUACCUGCUCUGGCUUGGCCCUCUCCCUACGGUAAUCCUCCUCUGCUCUUACCGGGAGGAGCACCAGGCGGUAUUAAAGGCAGGCUCGAGCGGUUCUCCAGGCCAGCUCCGCGCGCCGGCCGAUUUUCCCCGUGCGCCCCGGCCAGCGAUUUCCACCACGGAUGCCCGUGCCGCUUAUUCCGCGCGGCGGUGGAGAUUGAGGACAGCAUCGCGCGCCGUAGAGGAGGAGCAGGGCCGGCAACCAGUCCCUCGGCCGGAUGAGUUCUGGGCUGCCAGGGCCACUCCACGCGGUGGCUGGGCGCGGGGAUGGUUGUGUUGGUGGUCAACGGUGCGUUAGCGUGGCUGGAGCACGAGUGCCCGCCCUGUCCCUCCAUGGGUAGUCUGCUUCCUUUCCCGGCCACCCCGUGCGCCAUGCCUCCGACCGUCCAGCGCCGCCCCGCACGUGUAGUCUGCUCCGAUGCGGUCGGCCGCCGGGAUGGUUGGGUUGUAGCCGCGCAUGACGCGCACGGCACGGCUGGGGUUCAUGGCGGCGGCGGAGCGAGCCAACACUGGUUGACAUGGAGAGGGCCGUGCUUAAGAACGCAGCGGAGAGAAUCGCGACGGCCAGCUUCGGCAUCAAAUUGGGUCUUUUCUUAUCGAUCUGCACUUGUUUCUCCUCUUUAAUUUCUGGUGGAUUUGCUUCACCGUCUGAGGGAAUCAGGCCCUUGUUGAUUUUUCUUGUACAUGGUGUUCUCCCGAUCUAGAUUCAGUUUGCUAAUUGAAUUCCUGGCGGAAGUGUGUUUCCGAUUCAGUGGCGCACUGGCCGGCCAAGCGAUGUCAAGGCGCGAGCAGCCAUGGACAUGGGGAUGGCGAAGCCUGCUGCCGCCCAAUGACAGAUUGCAGAGGCGAUGGCGGCAGCUGACAGCUUGCGGCGGCGGCGGACGGAGGGCGGCUCGGGACGGCGACGGCUGACGUCUUGGGACGGUGGCCGGCGUGCGACGGAAGCGAGAGGACAGCUUGCGGCAGCGACCAGCCACAACUACAGCGGACGACUAGCCAAACAAAGGAUUUCAACCGGAAUCAACCACGUUAUUAGAUUAAGGAGCGACAGAAACAAACAUGAUUUAAUGGAAUCAUUUAACAGCGCUAUCAGGUUAUUAGCUAAAACAGGUGGCACAGUGCUUUUUUCUGUCGACAUGAACGGCCCACGGUGUUUAUUUUUGUUAAUAGGUGUCGGUUAAUAACUUAAGAUGCCCUUAAUUUUUUUUUUUUCA
Lolium perenne is the source of this 1737-nucleotide long non-coding RNA. RefSeq lists it as uncharacterized. Lineage: Eukaryota; Viridiplantae; Streptophyta; Magnoliopsida; Poales; Poaceae. The record is from RefSeq and is a predicted model, not a curated record.